GAUGUACUAAAUAACUGCAGCUUCACCUGACACACUGGGACUUGAGAGCAAUCUUCCCUUCUGUAAUUAGCACAAUCCAUAAUAGAAAGAAGCUUCCAUCACUAUUCAUCUAUGCAAAACUUGAUUCUUCUAUGCUUAUAUUGCCUUUGGAAAACUCCAUGUAUUGAAGAAAAAUUGCAAGGAAGCUGAAUAAUUUAAGAAUGAGAAGAUAAUGCUAAAACCCAAACAAAUUAGCAAAACACUAAGAAGAAUAUUUUUAUAUGUUUAGUUCUUGAUGUUAAUGUUUAAGCUAAUGAACCUAUCUUCUGUAAAGAUGCACUACAUUGUGCUUAAAGCUUUACCUUUAAUAACCACCUAGGAAAGGAGAUAUUUCAGUGAAAAUUUUUUUACCUCCCUAGGCAAGAAUGAGGAAAGUAAAUAUCCACAGAAGAGUCAUCUUGAUUCCAGCUGAACUCACACGUUCCCAUUUCUGCACAAAUGGCAUAAAAGCAGCAAAGCAGUGAGAACCCUCUGCGUGUGCCCUUGAAUGUGGGGAGGGCGAAAGGCAAAUGAGCACAGCACUGCAGGGAGCUUGUUUUGGGGAGCAUCACCUGGGGAGCUCUACCUGCCUCUGCACAGCUAGGGAACAGCACAGAGCAUUGCAAAAACACAGAUUUUCUACAGCCAGCUGAGGAUGUCUGACCAUUACCAGCAGCUCCGUACAUCAAGUUUAUCCCUUUUCAGGCACAAAUAGAAAAAUCCCAGACUGACCUACAGUUUGUCCACAAACAAGCAACAAACCAGGCCUUAGGGAGCCUUCAUUUCUUCCUGUGCCUCAAGUCAAGUUAAACAAGAAGCGGGUGCCCCUUCAUGAUGAACUUGAUAGGAAUCCACCAUGAUAAGAUCAGCCAGCACCUGCAUAGCAAGGUGAGUUACUCAAGACCAUCAAAUGCCUCCCCCAGCAAUUUACAGGAGUCAAAAGCAGUUUUGGUGGUGUAGCAGUGAAUGCUCCACAUGACGCCAAAAUAACACUUUCCUGGACAAGAUUCACCAGCCAUAUUUCUAUAAAAGCAACCAAAGUCCUCAAGGGAGGUAACCCAGAGGUGGGGAAGGCUAUUGAGUAUUUGGCAGAAGGAGAGCUGCCUGGGACACCCUCAGACUGUGUUGCUGUUAGGGCCUGUACAAACACCCAAAGAUUCCCUUCCAAAGCAGGUGCUGGAAAGCAGCAAGGGCACCUUGGACACAGCUGAACUUCUGGAAGGUGGAUGUGUGCCUGUGGCACUGGCAGCAGGGACAAUGGUAGGCAAAGGGACAGCUAACUGCUAGAGCAGGUAAAAAAGACACAGCAUUAGUAACAUGAAGCUCCUUGUCUUUUAAAAACCAACAAAUUGCACAAGGAUAUCCCUUCUGCAGAAGAGUUAAUCCUUAACAUGAAGAUCAAGCUGAGAGCCUCAUGCUGACCAUUGUUUUAGGUAAAUUAUGUAUGUACUUUAUAUGACUAUUUCAGCUACAAUAUUUGAUCUGUGUUGUCCUUGGUAAAUAAUAGAAAGGGAUUUUCUCAAUGUUUGGAGGGGAUGAUUCAUUUUAAAUUCAGCACUUCCUUAGGGAAAUAAAGCAGACAGAAGCCAGACGGCCUCUACCUUGAAGAAAGUGUACUCCAUGCAGGAAAUUCCCAAUACACACACAGAGCCUGUCACUGUGAAAUCACACAUCACAGCCCUCCCCAGCUCUUCUCCCUUACAGCCUCUUCACAUUAGCUUCAGUCAGCUGCUUCCAAGAAAUCUCCCUUCACAGGGCUCUCACCUUCACCUCUUUCCUUGUAAACAAUUCUUUCCUUUUCUUUGCAUUUCUUUUCCCCUCUACAGAAGAAAAUAUAGAAUCAGGAUGUUUCUUCUUUUUAUUUAGCUACUUCCUUCCCUGCAGCUUAUGCCUGUUGGAGCCAAGAAGCAAACUCCUACUGUGCCUCCACAGUGGUCAGAAGGCCCCUGUAACUAACAAAGAAUAGUCUCAGUGUCAAUAUAUUGUCUGAAUUUGGCACUGAAGAGACUGCAUGGUGGUCACCCAUACCUUAAGUGUUGUCUUUUGUUUCCGUAUUCUCCACCAGAUGUGUGAACAUGAAACAUUCUCAUUAAACACUCCCAUGAAACAGAAGCAGGAAGCAGGGAAGAUUUUGUUGAUCUUUUUUAAGGGAGAAUUUGGCAACAUUUGGUCCAGUCCCCACUUAAAGCUGGGCUACUUUCAAAGUACUGUCCUGGAUGUAAUUCAGCAAGGCACGUGGGAGAAUCCAUCAGUAUUCUGCCGCUCAGCAUUUGUUCAGUUAAUUAUCUUUUUUUAAUAGAGAAAAUAAAGGCUGAUAAAAGGUGAAAUCAGAAGAGUUUAGUGAAUUUAGAUGAAAGAAUUGAAGUCUGAGAAGGGACUGCAUCUGGCUUUUAUAAUUUAGCAAGGCUGAAGAACAGGAGAAAAAGAAAUAGAGGAAGCACAUAUGGGACAAGGACAAACAAGUUCAAGCUGGUCACUGAAAUUUUUGAUGGAACUUUAAAAAAUGUAUUAAAACAUCACAGAAGCAGCCAAUCCCACACAAUUUGAGUUGAGGUGUGAAAACUAUACUCACUCUGCUCUUAGAAGGCUGGUUGGUAAGUUUAUUAGAAAGAGCUGAUAUUAGUUCCAGCUUCAAGAACUGAAGGGCAGCCCAGGAUGGUGCCUCCAGUUCUGUAUUUGAAAUAACCUUGAUCUGUGAUGCUGGCAAAGUGAUGACUGUUACAGAGCAGUACCCACACAUAACUGACACCACCAGAAACACAGGCAAUAGUUUUCUAGAAGCAGCCAGUACCAACCAAGAACAAUGUAUGUAAGAACUGAUGAGUGGAACAUUCACAUUUCAGUGGAUGAAUAUAAAGGUAACAGAAAACUACUUUCUAACCUAAAAUGUUAGAUGAAUAUAAAGGUAUUUGGGUCUGUUACGUGGGUGAUAAGCAGCUGGAUCAAUCCAUGAAAAAUUGCUAUUGGCUUAUGAUUUUAACAACAGGAGUGAAAGUUCUUAUUUGUAAACUGUCUGUUUGUAUAUAGAGUUGACAAAUUACCCAAGCAACUAAAAUGGCACAUGGUAAUAACAGCUACUUAGCUAUAUGGAUAACCUUUAAUCACACAUUUAUUACUGAAAAUGGCUAAAAUUGUAUUAAUGCAAGCUGACAAAAAGUAAAUGUAACCUUUAGACAGAUUGGGAGCAUUGUUUUAAGCACAGAGUCUUUUUAUUCUGGCUUUUUCCACCACUAAGGUGCAGAGGGGAAAACAAGAAUCAGUUCCCUAUGAAAAUACUAUUUCUUCCAUUAUUCAUUGCCUACAAGAAGAAAUAGAACACAGGAGACACAACACAAGUAAAACCAGGUUCAUAGGUCAGACAUUUA
Non-coding RNA from Zonotrichia albicollis (white-throated sparrow), 3383 nucleotides. Lineage: Eukaryota; Metazoa; Chordata; Aves; Passeriformes; Passerellidae. The record is from RefSeq and is a predicted model, not a curated record.